Molecule: ribosomal RNA, 706 nt
Filed under: uncultured bacterium
Lineage: Bacteria
Description: bacterial SSU rRNA
Rfam family: Bacterial small subunit ribosomal RNA
Source: RNAcentral
CAGUCGAGCGAGAAGUCCCCGCAAGGGGAUGAGUAAAGCGGCGAACGGGUGAGUAACACGUGGGCAACCUGCCCUUCAGUCAGGAAUAACCCCGCGAAAGCGGGGCUAAUACCGGAUGACGUCCCUCGGGGGCAUCCUUGGGGGACCAAAGGGGGCGAGCGAAAGCGGCUCCCGCUGAAGGAUGGGCCUGCGGCUGAUUAGCUAGUUGGUGGGGUAGCGGCCUACCAAGGCGACGAUCAGUAGCCGACCUGAGAGGGUGACCGGCCACACUGGGACUGAGACACGGCCCAGACUCCUACGGGAGGCAGCAGUGGGGAAUAUUGCGCAAUGGGCGAAAGCCUGACGCAGCGACGCCGCGUGGGUGAUGAAGGCCUUCGGGUCGUAAAACCCUGUCGGGUGGAACGAAUUCCGCCUCGCCAAUACCGAGGCGGCUUGACGGUACCACCGAAGGAAGCCCCGGCUAACUACGUGCCAGCAGCCGCGGUAAUACGUAGGGGGCGAGCGUUGUUCGGAUUUACUGGGCGUAAAGAGCGCGUAGGCGGUUCGAUAAGUCGGAGGUGAAAUCCCUCGGCUCAACCGAGGACCCGCGUCCGAUACUGACGAACUUGAGUGCAGGAGAGGAGAGCGGAAUUCCCAGUGUAGCGGUGAAAUGCGUAGAUAUUGGGAGGAACACCGGUGGCGAAGGCGGCUCUCUGGACUGUCACUG